GCAGGGGUUGCCAAGCCUGGCCAACGGCGCUGGACUUAAGAUCCAGUCUCAUAGGAGUUCGGGGGUUCAAAUCCCUUCCCCUGCA
RNAcentral lists this transfer RNA (85 nucleotides) under Methanococcus aeolicus. RNAcentral's name for it is "tRNA-Leu". It matches the Rfam family "tRNA". From Rfam's summary of the family: Transfer RNA (tRNA) molecules are approximately 80 nucleotides in length. Their secondary structure includes four short double-helical elements and three loops (D, anti-codon, and T loops). RNAcentral also lists the same sequence under 1 other name. Lineage: Archaea; Methanobacteriati; Methanobacteriota; Methanococci; Methanococcales; Methanococcaceae. The record is from RNAcentral.